RNAcentral lists this RNase P RNA (392 nucleotides) under Amycolatopsis bartoniae. Its description in RNAcentral is "Amycolatopsis sp. SF26 Bacterial RNase P class A". It matches the Rfam family "Bacterial RNase P class A". From Rfam's summary of the family: Ribonuclease P (RNase P) is a ubiquitous endoribonuclease, found in archaea, bacteria and eukarya as well as chloroplasts and mitochondria. Its best characterised activity is the generation of mature 5'-ends of tRNAs by cleaving the 5'-leader elements of precursor-tRNAs. Lineage: Bacteria; Bacillati; Actinomycetota; Actinomycetes; Pseudonocardiales; Pseudonocardiaceae. The record is from Rfam by way of RNAcentral.
CGAGUUGGCCGGGCGGUCGCGAGGGGCCUUCGGGUCCUUCGAGGAAAGUCCGGACUCCACAGGGCAGGGUGGUUGCUAACGGCAACCCGGGGCGACCCGCGGGACAGUGCCACAGAAAACAGACCGCCCCGGCUUCCGAGCCGGGGUAAGGGUGAAACGGUGGUGUAAGAGACCACCAGCACCCCGGGUGACCGGGGUGGCUCGGUAAACCCCACCCGGAGCAAGGCCAAGAGGGCGCCUGGCGACAGGCGCCUGCGCAGGCGUUCGAGGGCUGCCCGCCCGAGCCUGCGGGUAGGCCGCUCGAACCUGCCGGCAACGGCAGGUCUAGAUGGAUGGCCGCCGCCGCGCCUUCGCGCGCGGAACAGGAUCCGGCUUACAGGCCAACUCGUCCG